This 586-nucleotide ribosomal RNA is filed under the name uncultured bacterium. RNAcentral's name for it is "partial 16S ribosomal RNA". It matches the Rfam family "Bacterial small subunit ribosomal RNA", at positions 355 to 1375 of the family's 1533-position model. The record is from RNAcentral.
UGGGGAAUUUUGGACAAUGGGCGAAAGCCUGAUCCAGCAAUGCCGCGUGUGUGAAGAAGGCCUUCGGGUUGUAAAGCACUUUUGUCCGGAAAGAAAUCCUUGGCUCUAAUACAGUCGGGGGAUGACGGUACCGGAAGAAUAAGCACCGGCUAACUACGUGCCAGCAGCCGCGGUAAUACGUAGGGUGCAAGCGUUAAUCGGAAUUACUGGGCGUAAAGCGUGCGCAGGCGGUUUGCUAAGACCGAUGUGAAAUCCCCGGGCUCAACCUGGGAACUGCAUUGGUGACUGGCAGGCUAGAGUAUGGCAGAGGGGGGUAGAAUUCCACGUGUAGCAGUGAAAUGCGUAGAGAUGUGGAGGAAUACCGAUGGCGAAGGCAGCCCCCUGGGCCAAAUACUGACGCUCAUGCACGAAAGCGUGGGGAGCAAAACAGGAUUAGAUACCCUGGUAGUCCACGCCCUAAACGAUGUCAACUAGUUGUGGGGAUUCAUUUCCUUAGUAACGUAGCUAACGCGUGAAGUUGACCGCCUGGGGAGUACGGUCGCAAGAUUAAAACUCAAAGGAAUUGACGGGGUCAUAGCUGUUUCCU